GACGAACGCUGGCGGCGUGCUUAACACAUGCAAGUCGAACGGAAAGGCCCUGCUUUUGUGGGGUGCUCGAGUGGCGAACGGGUGAGUAACACGUGAGUAACCUGCCCUUGACUUUGGGAUAACUUCAGGAAACUGGGGCUAAUACCGGAUAGGAGCUCCUGCUGCAUGGUGGGGGUUGGAAAGUUUCGGCGGUUGGGGAUGGACUCGCGGCUUAUCAGCUUGUUGGUGGGGUAGUGGCUUACCAAGGCAUUGACGGGUAGCCGGCCUGAGAGGGUGACCGGCCACAUUGGGACUGAGAUACGGCCCAGACUCCUACGGGAGGCAGCAGUGGGGAAUAUUGCACAAUGGGCGGAAGCCUGAUGCAGCGACGCCGCGUGCGGGAUGACGGCCUUCGGGUUGUAAACCGCUUUCGCCUGUGACGAAGCGUGAGUGACGGUAAUGGGUAAAGAAGCACCGGCUAACUACGUG
This 468-nucleotide ribosomal RNA is filed under the name uncultured bacterium. RNAcentral describes it as "partial 16S ribosomal RNA". It matches the Rfam family "Bacterial small subunit ribosomal RNA", at positions 28 to 507 of the family's 1533-position model. The record is from RNAcentral.